UUACGUGAAUCAUGCAGAUCUGUAAAAAAAAAUGGGAGGGGGGACCUCACAGCCAUCACCGCAAUCUUCAUCUUUCUUUAACCGGCAGCGUCGCUGAGCAGAGGGUGUGUGUGUGUGUGUGCGUGCGUGUGUGCGUGUGUGUGCGUGUGCGUGUGUGUUCAUCUGAGCCAAUUGGUCUGUCACUGCUCCGUCAAUGUCGGAAUAUUUGCGAUGAUCACGUAUUUGCGUACAGCUUGUUCACCUGCUCAAUUUCUCUGCUGAGUAGUAAUUUACCUCAGUCGCUCUCGCUCGACUACAGUGACAAGAACAUCGCUGGAUCGGAUGAUCUGAGCGUUUUAGACGGCUUGGAUCCGCGGGGAUCGCUCUGUCAAUUCAUAUUUGCAGUCACGUCACAACCAUGCUUCCAACCUAAGUGUUGAGACAUAUGAGUCCUAUCAAGUGGUCAAAUACAACCUGAAGGCCAUGCAGGUGUCGGCCAUUCAGCACUACUCCCGGAAGACAAAGGAGAGUCCUGUUAAUGUAAAGCUGUGCAGAAAUGUAAAACUAUCAAGCCAAAGGUACAGAGCUCUGCUCAGAAAUAAAGAAGAACUGAACAAAAGGCCUUAUCACUCUGCGAAGCCAACGGCCAGCAAGA
Long non-coding RNA from Esox lucius (northern pike), 634 nucleotides. RefSeq lists it as uncharacterized. Lineage: Eukaryota; Metazoa; Chordata; Actinopteri; Esociformes; Esocidae. The record is from RefSeq and is a predicted model, not a curated record. The transcript is spliced from 2 exons.